GAUUAAGUUAUUAAGGGCGCACGGUGGAUGCCUUGGCACUAGAAGCCGAUGAAGGACGUUACUAACGACGAUAUGCUUUGGGGAGCUGUAAGUAAGCUUUGAUCCAGAGAUUUCCGAAUGGGGAAACCCAGCAUGAGUUAUGUCAUGUUAUCGAUAUGUGAAUACAUAGCAUAUCAGAAGGCACACCCGGAGAACUGAAACAUCUUAGUACCCGGAGGAAGAGAAAGAAAAUUCGAUUCCCUUAGUAGCGGCGAGCGAAACGGGAAGAGCCCAAACCAACAAGCUUGCUUGUUGGGGUUGUAGGACACUCUAUACGGAGUUACAAAGGACGACAUUAGACGAAUCAUCUGGAAAGAUGAAUCAAAGAAGGUAAUAAUCCUGUAGUCGAAAAUGUUGUCUCUCUUGAGUGGAUCCUGAGUACGACGGAGCACGUGAAAUUCCGUCGGAAUCUGGGAGGACCAUCUCCUAAGGCUAAAUACUCUCUAGUGACCGAUAGUGAACCAGUACCGUGAGGGAAAGGUGAAAAGCACCCCGGAAGGGGAGUGAAAUAGAACCUGAAACCGUGUGCUUACAAGUAGUCAGAGCCCGUUAAUGGGUGAUGGCGUGCCUUUUGUAGAAUGAACCGGCGAGUUACGAUUUGAUGCAAGGUUAAGCAGUAAAUGUGGAGCCGUAGCGAAAGCGAGUCUGAAUAGGGCGUUUAGUAUUUGGUCGUAGACCCGAAACCAGGUGAUCUACCCUUGGUCAGGUUGAAGUUCAGGUAACACUGAAUGGAGGACCGAACCGACUUACGUUGAAAAGUGAGCGGAUGAACUGAGGGUAGCGGAGAAAUUCCAAUCGAACCUGGAGAUAGCUGGUUCUCUCCGAAAUAGCUUUAGGGCUAGCCUCAAGUGAUGAUUAUUGGAGGUAGAGCACUGUUUGGACGAGGGGCCCCUCUCGGGUUACCGAAUUCAGACAAACUCCGAAUGCCAAUUAAUUUAACUUGGGAGUCAGAACAUGGGUGAUAAGAUCCGUGUUCGAAAGGGAAACAGCCCAGACCACCAGCUAAGGUCCCAAAAUAUAUGUUAAGUGGAAAAGGAUGUGGCGUUGCCCAGACAACUAGGAUGUUGGCUUAGAAGCAGCCAUCAUUUAAAGAGUGCGUAAUAGCUCACUAGUCGAGUGACACUGCGCCGAAAAUGUACCGGGGCUAAACAUAUUACCGAAGCUGUGGAUUGUCCUUUGGACAAUGGUAGGAGAGCGUUCUAAGGGCGUUGAAGCAUGAUCGUAAGGACAUGUGGAGCGCUUAGAAGUGAGAAUGCCGGUGUGAGUAGCGAAAGACGGGUGAGAAUCCCGUCCACCGAUUGACUAAGGUUUCCAGAGGAAGGCUCGUCCGCUCUGGGUUAGUCGGGUCCUAAGCUGAGGCCGACAGGCGUAGGCGAUGGAUAACAGGUUGAUAUUCCUGUACCACCUAUAAUCGUUUUAAUCGAUGGGGGGACGCAGUAGGAUAGGCGAAGCGUGCGAUUGGAUUGCACGUCUAAGCAGUAAGGCUGAGUAUUAGGCAAAUCCGGUACUCGUUAAGGCUGAGC
RNAcentral lists this ribosomal RNA (1562 nucleotides) under Staphylococcus aureus. RNAcentral's name for it is "partial 23S ribosomal RNA". It matches the Rfam family "Bacterial large subunit ribosomal RNA", at positions 1 to 1561 of the family's 2925-position model. The record is from RNAcentral. Lineage: Bacteria; Bacillati; Bacillota; Bacilli; Caryophanales; Staphylococcaceae.